CCUACGGGUGCCAGCAGUGGGGAAUAUUGCACAAUGGGGGAAACCCUGAUGCAGCGACGCCGCGUGAGUGAAGAAGUAAUUCGUUAUGUAAAGCUCUAUCAGCAGGGAAGAAAAUGACGGUACCUGAGUAAGAAGCCCCGGCUAACUACGUGCCAGCAGCCGCGGUAAUACGUAGGGGGCAAGCGUUAUCCGGAUUUACUGGGGGGAAAGGGAGCGUAGACGGGAGUGCAAGUCUGGGGUGAAAGGCGGGGGCUUAACCCCCGGACCGCUCUGGAUACUGUACGGCUGGAGUGCAGGAGAGGUAAGUGGAAUUCCGGGUGAAGCGGUGAAAUGCGUAGAUAUUAGGAGGAACACCAGUGGCGAAGGCGGCUUACUGGACUGUAACUGACGUUGAGGGUCGAAAGCGUGGGGAGCAAACAGGAUUAGAUACCCGGGUAGUC
Molecule: ribosomal RNA, 440 nt
Filed under: uncultured bacterium
Lineage: Bacteria
Description: partial 16S ribosomal RNA
Rfam family: Bacterial small subunit ribosomal RNA
Source: RNAcentral